CAAUAGCUCCCUUUGCUGUUCAUGCCUACACCCUUGUAAUUCCCCAUUUACCUGGGAUGUGCUUUGCCCAGCCAAUGAUCACCACCAGUUCCCUGUCUGCCAGGUCACAGAGGGUUGUCAGGGCUUUGAUGUCACUCUCCGGCAUGGUUGGAUCAGGCAUGGCAUAAAUCUUCUCUGGCUCAGCCACCAGCAAGUGGGAGACGAUCUUAGUCACUGCACAUUUCAAAGGAGAAGUUGUUGUAGUUUAUGUCACUUUUGUGACAUAAAGUGAAUCCUUCUGGGAUAAGAUGUGACUACAGAGCCCCUAGGACCUCAGUAACAGUUUUGGUCUCAACAGAAAACCAGACUGCAGCUACACAAGUUGUAGUGAUAUGCCUAGGACAAACCAGCUCUGCACACGGAUGACAAAGGCAGGAAGCUGCUGUAAUGUUGUCAGUCAUUGUCUCAGGGAAAAGAUAAAGCUUUUACUGUGAUGCUCACACCAGCCACACCUGCACCACCUGAAACCGCUACUGGCAACAACAUCUAGAUCCCGAUACUCUUCAUGGCUAGAGCACCAUAACAAUUUGACUACCAAUUGCCCCCUAAGCAACAAGAAUACCAGGCCAACAACACUCAGUCUGGCAGCAGGAUCUCACACUGAGCAGGAGAAGCAGGGAUGAGCAGGAGUGGAGCUCUGCACAGCAAGGGAGCUGCUGCUGUGGGUGGCUGCUAUGGGAGGACAGCAGGUGUUGGAGAAGAUGGAGAGGAAGUGGCAGGUAGCCUGUGGGCAAGACUCCUUCCUGGGAGCCCAAACACACUUCAGAGAGCAAUUUCAAAAAGGACAGCCAGGGAAUCCCAAACCUGAGGUUAUCUAGGGAGAUCCCUAAGGAACAGCA
Molecule: long non-coding RNA, 878 nt
Organism: Passer domesticus (house sparrow)
Lineage: Eukaryota; Metazoa; Chordata; Aves; Passeriformes; Passeridae
Exons: 3
Source: RefSeq, a predicted model, not a curated record